RNAcentral lists this ribosomal RNA (110 nucleotides) under Caerostris darwini. The record is from RNAcentral. Lineage: Eukaryota; Metazoa; Arthropoda; Arachnida; Araneae; Araneidae.
ACGGCCGUACCAUGCUGAAUAUACCGGUUCUCGUUAGAUCACCGAAGUCAAACAUCAUUGGGCGCGGUCAGUACUUGGGUGGGUGACCACCUGGGAACACCGCGUGCCGU